UGGGGAAUAUUGCGCAAUGGGGGAAACCCUGACGCAGCAACGCCGCGUGAAGGAAGAAGGUCUUCGGAUUGUAAACUUUUGUCUUAUGGGAAGAAAAAAAUGACGGUACCAUAGGAGGAAGCCACGGCUAACUACGUGCCAGCAGCCGCGGUAAUACGUAGGUGGCGAGCGUUGUCCGGAAUUACUGGGUGUAAAGGGCGUGUAGGCGGGACUUUAAGUCAGAUGUGAAAUACCCGAGCUUAACUCGGGCCGUGCAUUUGAAACUGAGGUUCUUGAGUGGUGGAGAGGAAAGCGGAAUUCCUAGUGUAGCGGUGAAAUGCGUAGAUAUUAGGAGGAACACCAGUGGCGAAGGCGGCUUUCUGGACACUAACUGACGCUGAGGCGCGAAAGCGUGGGGAGCAAACA
RNAcentral lists this ribosomal RNA (405 nucleotides) under uncultured prokaryote. RNAcentral's name for it is "bacterial SSU rRNA". It matches the Rfam family "Bacterial small subunit ribosomal RNA", at positions 355 to 774 of the family's 1533-position model. The record is from RNAcentral.